Molecule: ribosomal RNA, 301 nt
Filed under: uncultured bacterium
Lineage: Bacteria
Description: partial 16S ribosomal RNA
Rfam family: Bacterial small subunit ribosomal RNA
Source: RNAcentral
CAGCAGCCGCGGUAAUACGAAGGGUGCAAGCGUUACUUGGAAUUACUGGGCGUAAAGCGUGCGUAGGUGGUGGUUUAAGUCCGUUGUGAAAGCCCUGGGCUCAACCUGGGAAUUGCAGUGGAUACUGGGUCACUAGAGUGUGGUAGAGGAUAGUGGAAUUUCCGGUGUAGCAGUGAAAUGCGUAGAGAUCGGAAGGAACAUCUGUGGCGAAGGCGACUAUCUGGGCCAACACUGACACUGAGGCACGAAAGCGUGGGGAGCAAACAGGAUUAGAUACCCCAGUAGUCCCUGUCUCUUAUAC